UACGGGGGGAGCAAGCGUUGUUCGGAUUUACUGGGCGUAAAGGGCGCGUAGGCGGCCAGCACAAGUCAGUUGUGAAAUCUCCGAGCUUAACUCGGAAAGGUCAACUGAUACUGUGCGGCUAGAGUGCAGAAGGGGCAACUGGAAUUCUUGGUGUAGCGGUGAAAUGCGUAGAUAUCAAGAGGAACACCUGCGGCGAAGGCGGGUUGCUGGACUGACACUGACGCUGAGGCGCGAAAGCGUGGGGAGCGAACAGG
Molecule: ribosomal RNA, 254 nt
Filed under: uncultured bacterium
Lineage: Bacteria
Description: partial 16S ribosomal RNA
Rfam family: Bacterial small subunit ribosomal RNA
Source: RNAcentral